UACGUAGGUCCCGAGCGUUGUCCGGAUUUAUUGGGCGUAAAGCGAACGCAGGUGGUUUAUUAAGUCUGGUGUAAAAGGCAGUGGCUCAACCAUUGUAUGCAUUGGAAACUGGUAGACUUGAGUGCAGGAGAGGAGAGUGGAAUUCCAUGUGUAGCGGUGAAAUGCGUAGAUAUAUGGAGGAACACCGGUGGCGAAAGCGGCUCUCUGGCCUGUAUCUGACACUGAGGCUCGAAAGCGUGGGGAGCAAACAGG
This 252-nucleotide ribosomal RNA is filed under the name uncultured bacterium. Its description in RNAcentral is "partial 16S ribosomal RNA". It matches the Rfam family "Bacterial small subunit ribosomal RNA", at positions 524 to 776 of the family's 1533-position model. The record is from RNAcentral.